Molecule: ribosomal RNA, 606 nt
Filed under: Acinetobacter sp. R14(2010)
Lineage: Bacteria; Pseudomonadati; Pseudomonadota; Gammaproteobacteria; Moraxellales; Moraxellaceae
Description: bacterial SSU rRNA
Rfam family: Bacterial small subunit ribosomal RNA
Source: RNAcentral
AAUACCCGAUUGGCGAAGGCAGCCAUCUGGCUUAAUACUGACGCUGAGGUACGAAAGCAUGGGGAGCAAACAGGAUUAGAUACCCUGGUAGUCCAUGCCGUAAACGAUGUCUACUAGCCGUUGGGGCCUUUGAGGCUUUAGUGGCGCAGCUAACGCGAUAAGUAGACCGCCUGGGGAGUACGGUCGCAAGACUAAAACUCAAAUGAAUUGACGGGGGCCCGCACAAGCGGUGGAGCAUGUGGUUUAAUUCGAUGCAACGCGAAGAACCUUACCUGGUCUUGACAUAGUAAGAACUUUCCAGAGAUGGAUUGGUGCCUUCGGGAACUUACAUACAGGUGCUGCAUGGCUGUCGUCAGCUCGUGUCGUGAGAUGUUGGGUUAAGUCCCGCAACGAGCGCAACCCUUUUCCUUAUUUGCCAGCACUUCGGGUGGGAACUUUAAGGAUACUGCCAGUGACAAACUGGAGGAAGGCGGGGACGACGUCAAGUCAUCAUGGCCCUUACGACCAGGGCUACACACGUGCUACAAUGGUCGGUACAAAGGGUUGCUACCUAGCGAUAGGAUGCUAAUCUCAAAAAGCCGAUCGUAGUCCGGAUUGGAGUCUGCA